AGUGAACGCUGGCGGUAGGCCUAACACAUGCAAGUCGAACGGCAGCACAGUAAGAGCUUGCUCUUACGGGUGGCGAGUGGCGGACGGGUGAGGAAUACAUCGGAAUCUACUUUUUCGUGGGGGAUAACGUAGGGAAACUUACGCUAAUACCGCAUACGACCUACGGGUGAAAGCAGGGGAUCUUCGGACCUUGCGCGAUUGAAUGAGCCGAUGUCGGAUUUGCUAGUUGGCGGGGUAAAGGCCCACCCAGGCGCCGAUCCGUAGCUGGUCUGAGAGGAUGAUCAGCCACACUGGAACUGAGACACGGUCCAGGCGCCUACGGGAGGCAGCAGUGGGGAAUAUUGGACAAUGGGCGCAAGCCUGAUCCAGCCAUACCGCGUGGGUGAAGAAGGCCUUCGGGUUGUAAAGCCCUUUUGUUGGGAAAGAAAAGCAGCAGGUUAAUACCCCGCUGUUCUGACGGUACCCAAAGAAUAAGCACCGGCUAACUUCGUG
This 492-nucleotide ribosomal RNA is filed under the name uncultured bacterium. RNAcentral describes it as "partial 16S ribosomal RNA". It matches the Rfam family "Bacterial small subunit ribosomal RNA", at positions 29 to 507 of the family's 1533-position model. The record is from RNAcentral.